GGAAGGAUCAUUAUCGAGCGUACGCUCGUAUAACGAGAGAGAGAGAGAAUUGGGUUUGCUGGUAGAUUCAUACGGUAGGCGCUUCGCGCAAUCCCGGUCCAGCAAACUAACAGAAUCAGACUAGCCGUAUUGUGAUGGUGUCGUAGUUGGUAUAAGUGAGCUACCAACCUGCUUCAUUUGCGACACCAUUAACGGUACACAGUCUAGUGGUGAUUCUCGCGACCUUGGGUGUAAACGUGGGUACCUAUGGUUCGCAUGUGCUUAUCGGUGAAUGUAUUUUCUGUAGACGAGCGUCACGACCGAUUGACCUGCUAACAGAAAGGUGGAAUGAUUGCAGACUGAUGCCUUCGGGUGUCAGUGACUCGUCAACCACUCUGUUUGAGUCAGGACGAUCGAGAAUAGACCGCGUCGGCUCGUCGCAUGUGUAUUGUGCAUAUGGACUGAAUUCUAACUUGUAAUUCAUGCUUGCAUGAUUUGCAGACCCUCAGUUCAGACUGCCUUUACAUUAUGCAUUGACGCAUAUGGUCUGUGGCGUCUGUGUCAGUUACCCACCCGACCCGUCUUGAAACACGGACCAAGGAGUCUAACAUGUGCGCAAGUCAUUGGGUUUAAAACCCAAAGGCGUAAUGAAAGUGAAGCAUAGUGGGAUUCCUUGUCUUCGGACUUGGACGCACCACUGUCCCGUCUGAUCUGCAUGUCAGAUAGGCGGAGAAUGAGCGUACACGUUGGGACCCGAAAGAUGGUGAACUAUGCCUGAGCAGGAUGAAGCCAGAGGAAACUCUGGUGGAAGUCCGUAGCGGUUCUGACGUGCAAAUCGAUCGUCAGACUUGGGUAUAGGGGCGAAAGACUAAUCGAACCAUCUAGUAGCUGGUUCCCUC
This 878-nucleotide unclassified non-coding RNA is filed under the name uncultured fungus. RNAcentral's name for it is "sequence contains 18S rRNA gene, ITS1, 5.8S rRNA gene, ITS2, 28S rRNA gene". It matches the Rfam family "Eukaryotic large subunit ribosomal RNA", at positions 445 to 961 of the family's 3401-position model. Lineage: Eukaryota; Fungi. The record is from RNAcentral.